Non-coding RNA from Salvia hispanica, 544 nucleotides. Lineage: Eukaryota; Viridiplantae; Streptophyta; Magnoliopsida; Lamiales; Lamiaceae. The record is from RefSeq and is a predicted model, not a curated record.
CAGAAAUGCAUUAGACUCAUGCCAGACCUCCCCGUCCCCGUUCGAGGAGAAACUGAUUUGGCAGCUAACGUGAUAUUCAUGAGAUUCCUCAUGCAUGCCCUUGCCUUCUCCUUGGAUCCUUACAACAAGGCUGCUGGUAAAUCAUUUAGAGUUUGUUUGUUUGAUUACUUUGUUUGGAUGACUCAGACGAGCAGCUCGGACGAGAUCUACAGUAUCAUCACAUGUUUAACAUAGAUAAUGUUGGAUCAAUUCCUGGGUCACACUCAUAUACAUUGAUUCGUAGUGUUGUAUUACAUGCUUAAUUGCAUUGUUUCUUGGCUAUAUGUAGCACGUAUAUAGUAUCGUUAGUCACUGCUUAGUGUUUUGGUUUUUGGUGGCAGAGUUGCUUUGUUUGAUUACUUUGUUUGGUUGACUCAGAUGAGCAGUUCAGAUGAGAUUUUGAGUUUGAGCUGAUGUUUUAACAGAGAGAGAAUAUUGGAUUGGAUCAAACCACACUAUACCAUUUUCAUCUCAAUUUGCAAUGCAAUCAUAUCAAUUCAUGUGA